AAGCCAGCCAAUUAAUCUGCUUAUAUGAAUGUUUUUCUGCAGAAAUUUAGAAAAUGCUGGCAAUAGUGAUACCAUGUUAUGAACUUUAAGGACAACUAAGGUCAUUGAAGGUCCCUGAAAAUGGCUACAUUA
This is a small nucleolar RNA of Jaculus jaculus (lesser Egyptian jerboa), 132 nucleotides long. RefSeq annotates it as small nucleolar RNA SNORA33. The transcript has a single exon. Lineage: Eukaryota; Metazoa; Chordata; Mammalia; Rodentia; Dipodidae. The record is from RefSeq and is a predicted model, not a curated record.